Molecule: ribosomal RNA, 466 nt
Filed under: uncultured bacterium
Lineage: Bacteria
Description: partial 16S ribosomal RNA
Rfam family: Bacterial small subunit ribosomal RNA
Source: RNAcentral
GACGAACGCUGGCGGCGCGCCUAACACAUGCGAGUCGAACGAGCGAGCGAGAGUUUGCUUUCUCGAGCGAGUGGCGAACGGGUGAGUAACGCGUGAGGAACCUGCCUCAAAGAGGGGGACAACAGUUGGAAACGACUGCUAAUACCGCAUAAGCCCACGGGCCGGCAUCGACCCGUGGGAAAAGGAGCAAUCCGCUUUGAGAUGGCCUCGCGUCCGAUUAGCUAGUUGGUGAGGUAAUGGCCCACCAAGGCGACGAUAGGUAGCCGGACUGAGAGGUUGAACCGCCACAUUGGGAGUAGGACACAGCCCAGACUCCUACGGGAGGGAGGAGUGGGGAAUAUAGCAAAAUGGGGGGAACCCUGAUGCAGCGACGACGGGUAAAGGAAGAAGGUCGGCGGAAUGUAAACUCCUGUUGUUGGGGAAGGUAAUGACGGUACCCAACAAGGAAGUGACGGCUAACUACGUG